AUAUUUCAACAACACACAAAUGCUGUAGCUAAGAUGAAACCGUUUUAAUCUGGCAAUUGUGUACCUUCCUUUACAAUAUGAAACUAGAGUUGGAGCAGUAUUUUUGCACAGUUUAUCUUUUCUUAUGGCACUAUCGACUUUCCUAUGCGCUGUGCGAAGGAAUUUUCAACUACAAACCUUGUUGUGUCGGAGAGAUGUGGAAUUCAACAGAGAAUAAAUGCAUGCAGUGUCCCUAGGGAUAUUUUGGAGAAAAUUGUACUUUACUGUGCAAUGUUCCGGAGUAUGGAUAUAGAUGUUCAUCAGGGAAGUGUACAUGCAACCGUGUCAUUUGUAAAAUAAGGAAAUCUAGGGAAUGUUUAACAUUGCCCGGUAAAAUGUGCUUAAAUAUUUUUUCUGUAAUUAGAUAGUUUCG
Molecule: long non-coding RNA, 412 nt
Organism: Saccostrea cuccullata (small rock oyster)
Lineage: Eukaryota; Metazoa; Mollusca; Bivalvia; Ostreida; Ostreidae
Exons: 3
Source: RefSeq, a predicted model, not a curated record